AUUCAUGUAGUUUAACGAAAACACCCCACUUUCACUGGGGAGACGGGCUCCCCAUGAAUU
This 60-nucleotide transfer RNA is filed under the name Scaptocoris castanea. RNAcentral's name for it is "tRNA-Glu". It matches the Rfam family "tRNA". From Rfam's summary of the family: Transfer RNA (tRNA) molecules are approximately 80 nucleotides in length. Lineage: Eukaryota; Metazoa; Arthropoda; Insecta; Hemiptera; Cydnidae. The record is from RNAcentral.